Molecule: long non-coding RNA, 299 nt
Filed under: Ananas comosus (pineapple)
Lineage: Eukaryota; Viridiplantae; Streptophyta; Magnoliopsida; Poales; Bromeliaceae
Description: long non-coding RNA (ACOM_LNC016438)
Source: RNAcentral
UAAAACAAAAUAUUUUAUCUCUUUAAUAGUUUAAUAUAGGGUUAAUUCCAUAUCGGUCCUUACAAGCAUAGUAAAUUACAAAUAUAUUCUUACAAAGUUCAAAUUCCCUUCAAAAGUUCUAAUAUUUUCAAAUAUAUCCCUCUAAUUUAUUUCCAUUAAAAUACUAUUUAUUUUAUAAGUGAAAUGAUAUAUUUGCCCUCACAAAUAUAUCCCUAAAAAAUUCUAACCGUUAAUUGAAGAGGAGUAAAAAAGUCGAUUCAUCUCAUUAACUAACUAGGGUUAAAUAUUUUAUGUAUACC